Long non-coding RNA from Chiloscyllium plagiosum (whitespotted bambooshark), 1115 nucleotides. RefSeq lists it as uncharacterized. Lineage: Eukaryota; Metazoa; Chordata; Chondrichthyes; Orectolobiformes; Hemiscylliidae. The record is from RefSeq and is a predicted model, not a curated record.
UAAAAAAAGCACGCCACGGUGUGGCGGCCAAUGAGGGCGCGAGCUACUCCAACGUCAGCGCGCGCCUGGCCGUGUUUGUCUUUCAAAACUGUUGCCCCGCCCACUAGCCACAGUCGCGUUGGCCCACGCUCGAGGAGACGAAACAAACGGUUGGGAACGACACGAUUCUAUUGGAGGACAAGAACGUCAAUCAGCGAGAGGAGGCGUCCUUGUCGCGAGCGCGCACGCAGUUCGGAGAGAGGCCGUCCAACUUUUUGAAUUCAUAUUUAAAACGACAAUAACCGUUUCCCAAAGUCUAUUUAAAGCUGCGCCAAAAAAAUAGAAACCUUCACUUGCCUUUUUUAUUGGUCUGUCUCCUGCAACGGUUAGACCGAAAUGAUACAUUUACAACGGCACGGCCGCUCGAAUUUAGAAAACAAAAUGACGAUCAUACAAAAUAGGUCUGUCAAUGUAGGCGGAGUGGAAUGCGUUCUUUAUAUUUUUAAGAAAAAGCCUUAAGUGCGUUUAAGACAGCGAAGUGUGAAUAAAAUGUAAUUUUCUACAGAGUGCAGUAUGGAGCGGACCUUUUUUUAAAAAAGUGAUGUUACAGUGCGGACAGGUUUAGAUGGCCUCCAUCCACCCUUUACGUUCCUUCACAUGUUUCACAGCUGCUGCCCAGUGACUAAGUGAAUUGCCAAUUUAAAAAAAAAUCAUUGGAACGAUCACUCCACGCUGUCACAUAGGAGCGGGGAAGUUGGAAGAACGCUGGUCAACCAGAUACAACUGAUGAUCUUUGAAGCAAAAACCUAAACGUGCCCAAGGGAAAAAGCAAUGAUAUUUAAGCGAAGAUGGCCAAGAACUGCAGUCUGCCCAGACAAGGCAGAGAGCAAUAGGUGGAAGAGCAAGAUGACAGUGAUGAUGAAUAAACCCCAUCACUUAUCACACUUGAUCUCUCACGGUCUCUUAGCUAUCAGCUCAUACACUGAUACUGCACAUAAUUUAGAUAGCUUAUAAGUGAGAUAUGUACAUGUUGAGGCACUGUGCAUAACUGGUUGGUAGCCAGAUCAGGGGACAAAGAUAUUGCAGGUUGAGUGUAUGAUGCUGGAAAAGCACAGCAAAUCAGGCAGCGUCCGAGG